AUUGAACGCUGGCGGCAUGCCUUACACAUGCAAGUCGAACGGCAGCGGGGGAGAAGCUUGCUUUUCCUGCCGGCGAGUGGCGAACGGGUGAGUAAUACAUCGGAACGUGCCCUGUAGUGGGGGAUAACUAGUCGAAAGAUUAGCUAAUACCGCAUACGACCUGAGGGUGAAAGUGGGGGACCGCAAGGCCUCAUGCUAUAGGAGCGGCCGAUGUCUGUUUAGCUAGUUGGUGGGGUAAAGGCCUACCAAGGCGACGAUCAGUAGCUGGUCUGAGAGGACGAUCAGCCACACUGGGACUGAGACACGGCCCAGACUCCUACGGGAGGCAGCAGUGGGGAAUUUUGGACAAUGGGCGAAAGCCUGAUCCAGCAGUGCCGCGUGUGUGAAGAAGGCCUUCGGGUUGUAAAGCACUUUUGUCCGGAAAGAAAUGGCUCUAGUUAAUACCUGGGGUCGAUGACGGUACCGGAAGAAUAAGGACCGGCUAACUACGUGCCAGCCGCCGCCGUAA
Molecule: ribosomal RNA, 508 nt
Filed under: uncultured bacterium
Lineage: Bacteria
Description: partial 16S ribosomal RNA
Rfam family: Bacterial small subunit ribosomal RNA
Source: RNAcentral